AGCAGUAUUACAGACAGUGCUUGCUACAUUUGCAUCUGAACUGUGUAGUUACGAGCAAGUCAAUUAAGCUAUUUGAGCUUCAUGUGUAAAAUGGGGUAAGACAUACCUUGAAAUAUUAUGAGAAUUAGAGAGGACGCAUAUAAAGAACCUGGCAUAGUGGUUGGCAUGGGCUGAUCUGAAUGCACUACAACAGAGGAUUCACUAUCUCAUGGCUUCCUGUUAGUUUCAACCUAAGAGAUCCAAGAGUGGUCCUGAGACAAUGAGUGGCUGGUGCAAGAGUAUGAAAGCCCAACUCCCUCGCUCCAUCUUAGGACAAUUUCUGAGCUCCUGAUUUUCUGUGUUCCUGAUUUUCCCUGUGGGGUCAACUGAUAUUAUUCUGCACAGAGGAUUCAGUACAAAAAAACGUGUGGCUACCUUCUUCAAAAAGCAGGAACAAAGUGCUAUUAGAGGACUAAAGAACUUACUUCUCAGCUUCUGGGAAUGCUGACAGUUGAUGGCUCACAGGCGAAUCCUUCCUUCCAAGUUUCACCCUCAGCUGAAGAGAGCUGCGGAAAUAUAUUAUGACACAAAUCUUCAUACAGAUUAGAGACACAUGAAAUACCUGAAAAUUCUACUUCCACCUAAGGAAAAGAGGAGAACAAGGUUCUUAAUUCAGCACAAGUGCUCUCCAAAAUUCUUUCCUCAGAACUUCAGCCGUUCAGAGGGUGGAGAGUGGGAGGAGCCAGAAGAUCAGGAAAAAUAAUUAAUGAGUACUAGGCCUAAUACCUGGGUGAUGAAAUAAUCUGCACAACAAACCCCCAUGACACAAGUUUACCUAUGUAACGUACCUGUACUUGUACAUCUGAACUUAAAAUAAAAGUUUAAAAAAUACAUAAAAAUCAACAAUAAAAGAAAUUCUU
RNAcentral lists this long non-coding RNA (899 nucleotides) under Homo sapiens (human). RNAcentral's name for it is "HSALNT0093540". The record is from RNAcentral. Lineage: Eukaryota; Metazoa; Chordata; Mammalia; Primates; Hominidae.